RNAcentral lists this ribosomal RNA (253 nucleotides) under uncultured bacterium. RNAcentral describes it as "partial 16S ribosomal RNA". It matches the Rfam family "Bacterial small subunit ribosomal RNA", at positions 524 to 776 of the family's 1533-position model. The record is from RNAcentral.
UACGUAGGGUGCAAGCGUUGUCCGGAAUUAUUGGGCGUAAAGAGCUCGUAGGCGGUUUGUCGAGUCUGCUGUGAAAACCCGAGGCUCAACCUCGGGCCUGCAGUGGGUACGGGCAGACUAGAGUGCGGUAGGGGAGAUUGGAAUUCCUGGUGUAGCGGUGGAAUGCGCAGAUAUCAGGAGGAACACCAAUGGCGAAGGCAGAUCUCUGGGCCGGAACUGACGCUGAGGAGCGAAAGCCAGGGGAGCGAACGGG